Molecule: ribosomal RNA, 609 nt
Filed under: Triticum aestivum (bread wheat)
Lineage: Eukaryota; Viridiplantae; Streptophyta; Magnoliopsida; Poales; Poaceae
Description: partial small subunit ribosomal RNA
Source: RNAcentral
AGAGGGAAGCAGUUUCGCUAUAAAGAUGUAUGGCAGACUCAUGCAGAUUACGAUAGUGUUGUCUUGAAUAACUGGCAAAAAGGAGCUAGUCUGCAGGGUCUGACGGGAGUAAUCAGCGCGCUUAACAACAUGCAGAGCUCACUAUCCACAUGGGGCGCGCGUGAAUUUGGCAGCUUGACGGCAAAGGUGAGGAAACUCCGACAGAGCUUGAACAAGCUUAGAAGUCGUGCGGGCAGACGUGGGCCAACUGAUGAAGAGAGAUCCAUCGUCAAGCAGCUACAUGAGGCACUUCAUCAGGAGGAAAUAUGGAUGCGCCAGAGGUCCAGAGUACCUUACUUGCGCGAGGGAGACAGGAACACAAAUUUUUUUCACGCACAGGCUGCUCAACGCAGAAGGAUGAACAAAAUUGAGGGACUUGUGCGAGCUGAUGGGUCGGUAUGCCAAUCCUGGGAAGAUGACCAUGAGGAGGUGCAACAGUUCUAUACAACGUUGUACACGUCUCAAGGAGUCCGACCCCUGGAUGGACUAUUGGAUCUAGUUCCACCUAGGGUGACAGCACCUAUGAACGCACACCUAGAUAAGCCUUUUACGGCAGAAGAGGUGAGGGUG